AAAGAAACUAUUCCGCCUCUAGAGCUUC
Molecule: small RNA, 28 nt
Filed under: Bombyx mori (domestic silkworm)
Lineage: Eukaryota; Metazoa; Arthropoda; Insecta; Lepidoptera; Bombycidae
Description: ovarian small RNA-10043
Source: RNAcentral